CACGUAGGGACCAAGCGUUGUCCGGAUUCAUUGGGCGUAAAGAGCUCGUAGGCGGUUCGAUAAGUCGGGUGUGAAACCUCCAGGCUCAACCUGGAGACGCCACCCGAUACUGUCGUGACUAGUGUCCAGUAGGGGAGCGUGGAAUUCCUGGUGUAGCGGUGAAAUGCGCAGAUAUCAGGAGGAACACCAAUGGCGAAGGCAGCACUCUGGGACGGUACUGACGCUGAGACGCGAAAGCGUGGGGAGCAAACAGG
Molecule: ribosomal RNA, 254 nt
Filed under: uncultured bacterium
Lineage: Bacteria
Description: partial 16S ribosomal RNA
Rfam family: Bacterial small subunit ribosomal RNA
Source: RNAcentral